RNAcentral lists this long non-coding RNA (1871 nucleotides) under Carica papaya (papaya). RNAcentral describes it as "long non-coding RNA (CPAP_LNC006565)". Lineage: Eukaryota; Viridiplantae; Streptophyta; Magnoliopsida; Brassicales; Caricaceae. The record is from RNAcentral.
AAAACCUUUACCAUCCACUUACCUUGGUGGAAUUUAUGAAAACAAUAUGAGAAAAACAAUAACAUCAUCAUAAUCAUUGAAUAAUCUAAGCUGUAAAACAUAACACUUAUCACGCCUCUUGUAAUUCAAUCAUUGUACAACAUAUCCUUUUUUCUCAUUUACCAGCCUACUAGUAUCCGUGGGGGUCCAUAGGGGUUCCGCUACCCGUUAACCUUUAACAUUCAUAAUCAGUUUCCAGGGCCGUCCCCAUACCCCGUCCGGUAUGGGCGCCAAAACCAUGAACCUCAAUACCCCGUCCGGUAUGAGGGUGAAACGGGCCGUCCUCAUACCCCGUCCGGUAUGGGCGCCAAAACCAUAAACCUCAAUACCCCGUCCGGUAUGAGGGUGAAACGGGCCGUCCCCAUACCCCGUCCGGUAUGGGCGCCAAAACCAUAAGAUCUCCAUACCCCGUCCGGCAUGUGAGACCACAAUCCCGGUAGGGUUCCCUACGGACCCGGUCCGUCCACCAUCUCCCAGGAUAUCUAGUCAGGCUGACCCCCAUAAUACAAUUAUCAGUCUAUACAAUCUUUCAUUUUCCUUUUCCUCAAUCAACAUCAUCAAUUCACAUUUAAACAAGCAAAUCGUAAUUCAUACCAACAGACAACAUACAAUAUCAGUUUUUCAGUCAUUCAACCCAUAAUUAAUAAAAACGUAGUACAUGCACACAAAUCUGUAAAAUGAACACAUCAAACCUCACUUUGCAUUUAAAGCUGUAAACAGGUCAAAUAACAGUACAUCAUCAAUCACACUAGACUCAGGCUCCAUUAGCAACCUUAAGCAAUUUCACACAUGCGUUAAUUCAAGAAAUACCGUUUUAUCAUUUUGAACUUUAAUACCGUGAUAGGAAAUAGGGUGAGGGGUCCUUACUUGUUUUCGGGAUCCGAAUACGAUUCACAGUGCGCCUGCAGGCUGUCCCUAAUUUUCUCUGAAUUUUUCGCGGGGAACUGAAACACACUAACAGUACCUGCACGUGUUCCAAAAAAAAUCCAAAUUAGGCCCAGGGCCUCUUUCGGCCCAAAUCGCAACUCCGGCACGGCGGCUCUGCCGUGCUCCGGCGACGGCGCCGCUGCUGGCGGCGGCGAGUCGCCUCGGGUUGACUGUUUUCGGCCGAAUUUGGCCACUCUCGCAUUGGUCCUUGUCAGAAAACAACCCUAGGGCCCUCGGGGGGCCAAAAAAUCACGGAAAAGCGGAGCUUACCGGCGGCGGCGCUCUCGGGUACGGCGACUCUCCGGCGAGGUUCGUGUUUUGGUGAUUUGGCUUUGGUCAACCUGUAGAGAAAAGAAUGGUGAUCACGGUGAUAUAAAAAUUGCAUCGAACGGAGGCCGGGAAGGGCCUCGUCGGAGGCAAAAACCGAGAGGGGGCGCGGCGGCGCCGCUGGGCUUCAGCAGCGUAUUCCGGCCGUUUGGCCGGGAUUUCGGCUUCGAUUUGGCCAUAGGAGGAAUCAGUGGGGAAGAACGAGUCGGGGGUAUGAAAUUUACCUCGAUCGGCGGUCGGAAAUUUCCCCGGUGCGGCGGCGAGUGGCGGCGGGUGGCGGCGGUCGGCCUCUGGUUCGUCUUCUCCGGCGAGCGGCUGGCGGCUAGGGUUUGUGGUCUGGUGUGGGGGUUCUAUUUAUAACCCCUUGCCUUUUGAUCACAGCCGUUCAUUUCGUUUUAAUCUGGGCCGUUCGUUUUUGAUUGAAUCUGGGCCGUCCGUGCGUUUGAAUCUGGGCCGUCCGAUCGCGCGAUUGAUCUGGGCCAUCGGAUCGCACCCACGCGGAUCGCCAACGUGGCUCCUUUCGGAGUGACGCGAUCUUGCCACGUGGCAGGCCCUGGUUGGCCGGGACUGCUGACCGG